UAUACAAAAAAUUUUCAAUAAUCAACAAUAGUAUUCACACUGUUUUAAUUUGGUUAGCAAAUUUUAAACACUUCAUUAAAAUCAUAUCAGAAAUAUGAUGUUCAUGUUUUGUUAUAUACCUAAGAAAAAUAAUUUCUAUCAUCAUGCAUUACCUAUUUAUAAAAAAAAAUAAUGAAGCUCCAUUUUAGAGAUUAAAACAAUAGAUAUAAGGUUGAGAAACAAUUCAGUGGUCAACUUGUGAAUUGGAGAUCUUCGCUACAUAACAAUCACCAGAUAUACAGAUGUUAGACUUGGUUAGAUGACAUACAGCUAAUGACAAACUUAAACAGCUAUUUAAAAUGCCAGACAAGAAGGGAAGAUCAGGUAAAAGGUGACGUUUAAAACUAUAGACCUGGGAAGAAAUGGCAAGAGCUAGCAAUGGAUACAGAAGAAUGGAAGGAAAUAUGCUAAGGAAAUAG
This 458-nucleotide long non-coding RNA is filed under the name Acyrthosiphon pisum (pea aphid). Its description in RNAcentral is "uncharacterized LOC103309697, transcript variant X3". The record is from RNAcentral. Lineage: Eukaryota; Metazoa; Arthropoda; Insecta; Hemiptera; Aphididae.